Long non-coding RNA from Cyprinus carpio carpio, 650 nucleotides. Lineage: Eukaryota; Metazoa; Chordata; Actinopteri; Cypriniformes; Cyprinidae. The record is from Ensembl.
ACCAAGUACAAGGUUAGAAUGACUCAUUUCAUCUUCUCUGAUGUCACGCUAGAAGCGCCCAGGCUCUGUCUCCAUCAUAAUUAAACAGGGCUUAAGGCAUCCGAUAGUGUCACAGAAGAAGAUGGAAGUGCCAUUCCUUUUUCUCAGUGCUUUGCGGCCAACGAAAGGGCACCAGGCCCCUGAACAUUCCAAGGUCAUUCCUGGCAUCCGUAUCUCUCAGAUGAACGAUUCACACAGGAGGCCCAGGAUGAUGAAGCAGACGUGUCGCAUUGCUCACCAUGGAGAAAGGGCUGCUGAUAUUUAUGGGGCACCAUCCGUAUGAACUUGAGCUGAGCCGUGCGCUCCCUGUGGACAGGACACGGAGAUACGAACACAAUGAGAGUGGGAGGAGAGGGGCUGUGAAGCAUAUCGCACAGAGACUCCACCAGUCUUUACUCAGUGGUCGUCGGUUGUCAGCGCUGAUCGAUUGCUUUGCACAUUUGCCAUAGUUCUGCAUUAGAGGCCUUGUUCACACAGCAGCAGAAUACGAAAGUCAGUCUUGUUUUUGAGUACUUAAUAUGGCUCACACACAGGUUUUCAUAAGGAGUUCUGACAAAUUUCAUGAGUUGUGUGCAGAGUGUUUCCAAAACAGAAUAAAAAAUAAAUAAAUG